Molecule: ribosomal RNA, 608 nt
Filed under: uncultured bacterium
Lineage: Bacteria
Description: bacterial SSU rRNA
Rfam family: Bacterial small subunit ribosomal RNA
Source: RNAcentral
GCAAGAUUAAAACUCAAAGGAAUAGACGGGGACCCGCACAAGCGGUGGAGCAUGUGGUUUAAUUCGACGAUACGCGAAGAACCUUACCUGGCCUUGACAUAGAAAGAACUUUCCAGAGACGGAUUGGUGCUAGUUUACUGGAGCUUUCAUACAGGUGCUGCACGGCUGUCGUCAGCUCGUGUCGUGAGAUGUUGGGUUAAGUCCCGCAACGAGCGCAACCCUCGUGUUUAGUUACUAACAGUUCGGCUGAGGACUCUAAACAGACUGCCUGGGUAACCAGGAGGAAGGUGAGGACGACGUCAAGUCAUCAUGGCCCUUACGGCCAGGGCUACACACGUGCUACAAUGGGGUAUACAAAGAGCUGCAAUACGGUGACGUGGAGCAAAUCUCAUAAAAUAUCUCCCAGUUCGGAUUGAAGUCUGCAACUCGACUUCAUGAAGUUGGAAUCGCUAGUAAUCGUAGAUCAGCAAUGCUACGGUGAAUACGUUCCCGGGUCUUGUACUCACCGCCCGUCACACCAUGGGAAUUGAAUUCAUUCGAAGCGGGGAUGCUAAAAUAGCUACCUUCCACAGUGGAUUUAGUAACUAGGGUGAAGUCGUAACAAGGUA